Sander lucioperca (pikeperch) is the source of this 158-nucleotide long non-coding RNA. RefSeq lists it as uncharacterized. The transcript has 4 exons. Lineage: Eukaryota; Metazoa; Chordata; Actinopteri; Perciformes; Percidae. The record is from RefSeq and is a predicted model, not a curated record.
CCUUUACUUCCGGCAGCCGUCUGGGUUUAGAUUUAGCCGAGAAAAGGUGACUAUGAGCCGGGUAAAGAGCACCGUGAGGGGACAGUCCUUUCAGGGGCAGUUGCGGUUGAGUUUAGCUGACAAAAAGUGAGUGUCAUGCAGCGAUGACAGUUACGUUU